RNAcentral lists this unclassified non-coding RNA (1296 nucleotides) under Drosophila virilis. RNAcentral's name for it is "GJ22639". The record is from RNAcentral. Lineage: Eukaryota; Metazoa; Arthropoda; Insecta; Diptera; Drosophilidae.
UUAUUGGUAUGCGGUCUCACUGAUUUGGUGCUUCAGUUCAAGAUGGCGAACGAUGCGAGCAAACUACUACUGUCUUCACACCAAGAAAAAACCAGUCAUUAUACCUACCUGAAGGAGUUCCGCGUGGAGCAAUGCCAGUCGUUCCUGCAGCACAAAUGCAACCAGCAUCGCCCCUUCGUUUGCUUCAAUUGGCAUUUUCAAAAUCAGCGUCGUCGACGGCCAGUACGUAAACGCGAUGGCACAUUUAAUUACAGCGCUGAUAAUUAUUGCACCAAAUAUGAUGAAACAACUGGAAUCUGUCCCGAAGGCGAUGAAUGUCCCUUCCUACACCGAACAGCCGGCGACACCGAGCGUCGAUACCAUUUACGCUACUACAAGACAUGCAUGUGUGUGCACGAUACGGACAGCCGGGGAUAUUGUGUGAAGAAUGGACUUCACUGCGCUUUUGCGCACGGCAUGCAGGACCAGCGACCACCGGUGUAUGAUAUCAAAGAGCUGGAGACACUGCAGAAUUCGGAUAUAUCGUUGGACGGUACCAAUGCACAAAAUGCGCUCGAUAAGGAGCGAAACCUAAUGAACGAGGAUCCCAAGUGGCAGGACACCAACUAUGUGCUGGCCAACUACAAAACCGAGCCAUGCAAGCGUCCGCCCCGUUUGUGUCGCCAGGGCUAUGCCUGUCCACAGUACCACAACAGCAAGGAUAAACGUCGCUCGCCCAGAAAGUACAAAUACAGGUCCACACCAUGUCCCAAUGUCAAGCACGGCGAGGAGUGGGGCGAACCGGGUAACUGUGAGGCCGGUGACAAUUGCCAGUAUUGUCACACACGCACCGAGCAACAGUUUCAUCCGGAAAUCUACAAGUCCACAAAAUGCAACGAUGUACAACAGGCUGGCUACUGCCCUCGCAGCGUCUUCUGCGCCUUUGCGCAUGUGGAACCUUAUCUUGUCAACGAGCAGAAGAAGCGCGAUCAAGAAAUUGCCUUAAGCGAACUCAUUUCCAAUGGCUUGUCCGGUAUGAAGAUGCAGGAUGAGGUCGCUAAUGGCAAACUGUCUACAGGACUGCUCCAACUGAGCAAUAAUCCUGUACAUUGGAAGAUCCACGCGAGAAUUCGCUAUCGGCAAGUCUGGUUAACACUAGUUUAUUAACACGUUCCUCGGCGCCAAUUAACAUUCCUAAUACGACACUAAGUAACUCUAUUAACGACUUCAAUUCAAGUGGUUUUGCCGUCAACAUUCCCAGCAGCUCGCUCACAUACAGCCCGACAAAUCAUGCCAAUCUAUUCAAUGUGUAUGGCG